RNAcentral lists this ribosomal RNA (776 nucleotides) under uncultured Neocallimastigales. Its description in RNAcentral is "partial large subunit ribosomal RNA". It matches the Rfam family "Eukaryotic large subunit ribosomal RNA", at positions 23 to 633 of the family's 3401-position model. Lineage: Eukaryota; Fungi; Neocallimastigomycota; Neocallimastigomycetes; Neocallimastigales. The record is from RNAcentral.
UAGAGAGAGACAUGCGCGCAUAUCAAUAAGCGGAGGAAAAGAAACUAACUAGGAUUCCCUCAGUGACGGCGAGUGAAGCGGGAAGAGCUCAAAUUUGAAAUCUUAAAGGUUUCCCUUGACGAAUUGUAGUUUAAAGAAGUGUUUUCUGUUGGAGUUUCGGUAAAAGUUCUUUGGAAUAGGACAUCAUAGAGGGUGAGAAUCCCGUAUUUGACCAUUACUUUCCAACUUUGUGAUACACUUUCAAAGAGUCGGAUUGUUUGGGAAUGCAGUCCAAAAUGGGUGGUAAAUUUCAUCUAAAGCUAAAUAUUGGCGAGAGACCGAUAGCGAACAAGUACCGUGAGGGAAAGAUGAAAAGAACUUUGAAAAGAGAGUUAAACAGUACGUGAAAUUGUCAAAAGGGAAGCGUUCGACACCAGUGUUGUUUUCUCGAAAAUCAAUUAAAAAGAUGGGGAUUUUGUGUUGUAUUGACUUUAUCAGCUUUCUGCACUCUUUUCUUGUCUUUUUUAAUGCACUUUUCGUUUAACAAGUCAACAUCAAUUUCUUUUGUUGUAAAAGAGUCAUUGGAAGGUGGCUUUCUUUUCGGAGAAAGUGUUUAUAGCCUUUGGCUUCUGCAAUCGGAGAGAUUGAGGUCUGCAGCGUAGAUCCUUCGGGGUUAGAUAGCAUUUGUGCUAAGUUAUAGCCUUUCAUAGACAACUUGUUGACUAUGAUCAGUCAUGUAGCUUACUCGCUUAUGCUAUUUUACCUACGCUUAGGAUGUUGACAGCAGUAUAGACUGU